AGAGUUUGAUCCUGGCUCAGAACGAACGCUGGCGGUAUGCCUAACACAUGCAAGUCGAACGCGAACGAAACCUUCGGGUUUCAAGUAGAGUGGCGCAUGGGUGAGUAACACGUGGAUAAUCUGCCCUAAGGUUUGGGAUAACACUUCGAAAGGGGUGCUAAUACCGGAUAAGCUCACGCCUUCCUCGGAAGAAGUGAGAAAAGAUUUAUUGCCUUAGGAUGAGUCCGCGGUCCAUUAGCUAGUUGGUGGGGUAACGGCCUACCAAGGCUGCGAUGGAUAGCUGGUCUGAGAGGAUGAUCAGCCACACUGGAACUGAGACACGGUCCAGACUCCUACGGGAGGCAGCAGUGGGGAAUUUUGCGCAAUGGGGGAAACCCUGACGCAGCAAUACCGCGUGAAGGAUGAAGGCCCUUGGGUCGUAAACUUCUGUCAGUGGGGAAGAAAUGCCCGUAAGGGAGAUGACGGUACCCACAAAGGAAGCACCGGCUAACUCCGUGCCAGCAGCCGCGGUAAUACGGAGGGUGCAAGCGUUGUUCGGGAUUAUUGGGCGUAAAGAGCAUGUAGGCGGUCUGUUAAGUCUGGUGUGAAAGCCCGGGGCUCAA
This 602-nucleotide ribosomal RNA is filed under the name uncultured bacterium. Its description in RNAcentral is "bacterial SSU rRNA". It matches the Rfam family "Bacterial small subunit ribosomal RNA", at positions 8 to 612 of the family's 1533-position model. The record is from RNAcentral.